AAUUACAAAAACAACAUAAUAAAUUAACAAUCAAUUUAUUAAAAGAAAGGAAAAAUAUAAAAAUAUUAAAAUGGCGGGACGUCAAGGCUCUGAGCUCUCGCUUGCAAUCUAUUUGGAACCCUAAUGGCAUGAAAUAGUUGGGAGUUAGGGAACAAUUACUACCUAGUUAAAUUCUUGACCGAGGAGGAGUUCUGUAGAGUCUUACUUGAUGGUCCAUGGACACCUUUGGGUAGUUAUUUUUUGGUUCAACCCUGGUAACUAGAGUUCAACGCGUUUGAGAAGUCUAUCAAUUUAGUGGUGGAUUGGAUUCGGUUGCCAGGGCUUACUUUAUAUUUGUAUAACAAAUAGGUUCUUAGAGUAGUGGGAGAUGUUGUUAGGAGUAUGGUGAAGGU
RNAcentral lists this unclassified non-coding RNA (392 nucleotides) under Hevea brasiliensis (rubber tree). The record is from RNAcentral. Lineage: Eukaryota; Viridiplantae; Streptophyta; Magnoliopsida; Malpighiales; Euphorbiaceae.